GAUGAAGAACGUAGCGAAAUGUGAUAAGUAAUGCGAAUUGCAGAUUUCAGUGAGUCAUCGAAUCUUUGAACGCACAUUGCGCCCGCCAGUAUUCUGGCGGGCAUGCCUGUUCGAGCGUCAUUUCAACCAUCAAGCCCCCGGGCUUGCGUUGGGGCCCUGCGGCUGCCGCAGGCCCCGAAAAGCAGUGGCGGGCUCGCUGUCACACCGAGCGCAGUAGCGAUUCUCGCUCCGGGCGUCGGCGGCGGGCACCGGCCGUGAAACCCCCCCACAUCCACAAGGUUGACCUCGGAUCAGGCAGGAAUACCCGCUGAACUUAAGCAUAUCAAUAAGCGGAGGA
Molecule: unclassified non-coding RNA, 337 nt
Filed under: soil metagenome
Description: partial contains 5.8S ribosomal RNA, internal transcribed spacer 2, and large subunit ribosomal RNA
Rfam family: 5.8S ribosomal RNA (bases 1-120)
Source: RNAcentral